RNAcentral lists this long non-coding RNA (936 nucleotides) under Chloebia gouldiae (Gouldian finch). RNAcentral's name for it is "Erythrura gouldiae (Gouldian finch) lncRNA (ENSEGOG00005007839.1)". Lineage: Eukaryota; Metazoa; Chordata; Aves; Passeriformes; Passeridae. The record is from RNAcentral.
CAACGCGCCGCCAGCCAACCAGAGGGCACAUGCAAAUCAGGCCACGCCCACCCGCGCCCCCGCCCUUGGCAGGGCGCGCUCCCGAGGGUGAGACGCGCGCUCCCGGCCCCGCUGAGCUCGGUUCGCGCUGAGCUGUCGGUGUCCCCCGACCCUCCGGAUCCCCGGCCUGGGCAGCCUCCGCCGGUACCCCAGCCCCGCCUCCGCCGGUACCCCAGCCCCGCCUGUCUCCCAGUUCCCGCCCCGAGCGGAGCGAUCCGGACGGGCGCGGCCCGCCCGCCGCGCUUCCAAAGCACCACGGCGCUCGGUGGGCUUCGGGUUGUGACUGUGGACUGACAGACUCCAGUCUGGGCAAAAGGGAAAUCAGCUGUGAAGAUCUGCAUGAAAAUGGCAAUGUCUUCUCAUUCUUCAGAGAAACAGCUGGUCCUUCAUUCAGCCCCCCUGAGAGGUGGAACCUCAUGAGAAAAGUAUUGAAACUACCAUUUGUAAUAAAAGAAAAUGAUUGUGUAAACAGAGACCAGUAAACUGCUUAGCAUGCAUUAGCAUCUUCUUAACAUUUGAAAAUGCAUUAAGAAAUUCUAGAGAGGAGAUUAUGGAGCUCAGCAUAGGUGCAGAUGUUGUCAACAGAGUGUGUGGGUGGGAUGUAAACAUGUGGGCUGUGCAUAAAUAUAGGCCUUUGGUAGAGCACUCCUGGUUCUCUUGAUUCUUAAAUACCAGGGAUUUGAAAUUCCUGGGUGUUUUUCCUUCCAGUUGGAGAAGGGAAGGAAGUUGUACAAAGGAUGUUGCACCUUGCAGAUGGCUAAACCAAACCACAGGCUGGUUGACAGAACUGCACAAUGCCGGCACAAAGGGGACAGGGACUUCACAAGUGCCACAAAAAGUUGCCCGAAGGAAUUAAUGCAGUUUGCCUUGAAAAGCAAAAAAUUCUAGUGAGCUUUU